UUCAAGCACGCUGAAGUGACUUGCAGCUGGGGUGUAGAAAAACACAUACAUCAUACUAAUUGUUGUUUAGCCUUGUGUGUUUGACAAGUAGAACAUCUGUGUUUAGAUAACAUAAGCCUGUGAGAGACUUAGAGGCACCCUAUCACACAUGCUUGAGAUUCUUGCUCUGCUUCAGGAAAGAUCAAAGCACAAUGGUAAAAUACCUGUGUGAAUCCCUGAUAAACAGGCAAGAACAGCAGGCUUGGUGAUCCCCUUGCAUGGAUCUGUGGUGCCUGUGUCCCACCUGUGUGCUUCUGCCUGGGUGCUGCUUUGGGGAUCCCCUGGUCGGUGAGCAAAGAUAUCCCAUUGCAAGGGAUUAAUGCCAUUAUUCUGGUGUUUGAGGGGCAUUAAGAGAAGGCUGCAAAGGUGGAUGCCGACUGGAUGUGCACCAGGCUCACUGGGGCACCAUCAAUAUUGUCAUUCCUUCAGAAGAUCAGCUACGUGGCAGGCUCCUCGUGACCCGAGGAAGUACUCCUGAAGGAUCACUGCUAAUCCUGAACGCCGCUUUGUAGCAAGCCCCUUAGGAAUGGGGGCAGCGCGCUGUGGGCCGCGCACUUUGCAGGCCGGACAAAACAAAUGUUCCUGUCCCUAAGUGGUCUUCAUCCAACUCUGUUGUUUUCUCCUCACUGAGAACUGAAGAGGAUUACGUUUAGUCACAGAUGGGCACAAGAAAAGACCACAGCUCCCCGUGGGAUUGGGAAGACUUGGCCAGGCUGCAGCAUGCAAGUCAAAGUCUGGAGCAGCACUAGCGCCUAAUUGAAACUAGCCAGACUAUCCAAGAAAGUUGUCUUUUAGUUGCAUAACGAUGGCUUAAGGCUCAUUUAAGUCCUGAGAACCACUUGACUGCUCUGCAGGAAACAAGCCACAGGUGAAAUCUGAUUACAAAUUAAAGUUGGUUUGGGAGGGGGCUUAGAAAAGCGGGAUGAAAGAGGCAGGUGCAGUUGAAGAUAUUUGUGAUGCUGUAUCUUGUUUUCCCAUGGCUUAUCAACACUGUUUGCUACAGACUUGGAAAAGAAGUCAUCCGAGUAGUCUGGAAUGUUGGAACCUUGCAGACCUUGGCAAAGCAGCUUACAGCAACAGAGUGAAUGUGCUUUUGCAUGGAGUCUUCCUCACCCAGAGCAAUCAGGUCUUCUCUGGUUGUCUUCAUUGUUCAACUGUGAGAAAAGACAGCCUUUAUCCACAGUGCACAGCUGAACUUUUGGGGACAGUUACUGGAAACUUUGUAAAGGUUAUAUAUUUAUUUGCUUUCCUGAGAGCUGUUGUGAUCAUUCCAGAGCACUGCAGAAUGAUGUGAUGCAAAUGCACACAGACUGACACAGCUUGUCAAAAACUCAUUUAACUAUAAAUGCACAAAAUAGAAAAAAACCCAAACUGAAAUAUGUAUGUCCUAAAAGCCCUUUUUUGUGAUUGCUGAAUCUGUAGCGUAAUUGAUGUUUUGUUGUAGCUGAGGGAUUACAGAGGAAGAACUUCCCAGCUUUCCUGAAGUUUAAUCCUUGCAUGACACGUUUGUUAACUUGAAUCCCCACGUUACCAGUCUGGAUUGGAUUUGGUGCUACACCAGGUGUACACUUGCCACAAGUGGAAGGUAGAAAAUCCUUGGACGAGGUGAAGAGACGCACUCCCUGUUACUUCAAGUUUUUUCUUUCAUAAUUUCAUUGGUUUUGUGCCUCAUCUGGAAUAUUUUCACAAAUUUUAAAGGCCAUAGCAUAGUUCUACCUUUGUGCUGCAUGCUUUGGCUAAGGUGCUUCCGUAGGAAGUUUAUUUGGUGCUGCUGGUCUGCAGCGUGCUCUCUUCGUAAGGAGGCACUGGGUCUGGAGAGAGCUCAGCGUGAGCCUCUUCCAUGGAAUUCUUCAUGGUGGCCUCCUCAUAUGACGGAGGCAAACACAGAGAGAGGAAUGUGGCAUCAGGAAGCAGCGUGGAGUAGUGGAAGCUCUGUUCACUGCUCCAGGGCAGUGCAGAAAGGAAAUGGGAUACAUCGUGCUCAGGCAGGGCCUCAGGAAGGUCGAUGCUGAAGAUCUGCCCCUGCUGAGGGGGGCGCUGGCAACGGCGGUACAGGAAGAGCAGCAGGAAUGCCAGGAAGAGCAUCAUGGUGGCAGGCAAUAUGAUACACAGAAAUGGUUCUAUGUCGUCUUUGGUUGAACUUGUCUGUUGUCUGCUCUGCAACCAAAGCAAACAGGAAGGAUGUUGGAUUCCAAGAGAUCUCUUAAUCAGAGAGCAAAACCACAUUCCCCAUCUCUACCUUAUGACAUAGCAGUUGCUCUUCCAAAUUUCAUUCUCUCUGCACUAGUGUCAUUCAAGCAGUAUGUUUUGCAGACUCAUAAAUUCUAUUUACUGAUCAAUUAAAGCAAAUCACAGCCAGAGACAAAAAACUCCAGAGAAGUUGCAAAGAGUAUUGAGUUUUUAGAAAACCCUGUCUCCAAUAGGGAAAAAACCCCAACAGCCUGGCAGUGUAUGCUAUUUUGUAUGACAUUUUAUUACCUUGGAUUAUGGCGGACCAGUCAACUUUGAGGGAGAUUGGUCAAGCUUUUAAAAUUUGGGAGAACAUUGAAAUGCAGAUGAAUAAGGCUGGUGAUACACCAUCCGCUGCUGUUUCUUUGUUUUUGGAAAAUUGUGUAAAGAACAAGUAUUACGACAAGUAGCCCUUGCAAACAGGGUCCAUUGCCUACAAUACUUGGUCUUUGGGUUGUUCUAACCUCAUGGGCCAGUUCCAAAUAUAACGUGGUGUUUUUAUUGGACAGGACAGCUUGGACUGGACCUCUUGAGCUUGUUUUACCAGCAAUCCCAGAAUCAUUUUUCCCUGUUUAGAACUAUGAAAAAUGAACUUCUGGUGUAAGAGAAACAACAGUUGUGACUGCUGUGUCAGCCUUGUUGCAAAAUGUAGCACGAAAGACCUCUGUUCCAUGGCUUUUGAAAUGUGAUGUAAUGUUAACCAGAGUUAUAAGCUAUGAGAAAAACCAACAAAGCCAUUUGUGCUCUUGUGUUGUAUAGCUUUAGUUUUAAAUUUUAGCAUAUCUUGUUUCCAGUCUGACUCCAUCUUCUAAUAAUUGUGUCUCAUUCAGAGUCUAGUCCAGGGCAGAAGGAAAACCCAAACCCUAUAAUGCUGUUUAUCAAGUCAUUCCCUUCUGUAAGUUCUUGACAAAUGCUAUGAGGUGGCACAUUUGCGUGGUGAGACUAAAGAGGUCAGUGGAUCAGAUUUCCUUUAUUUUGAGUGAAGGUGCUAGGAGAACUCGAGUGAUUCUUUCCUCAAAGGGUUUGGAAGCAGGGAUGUAAACUGGCCAUUUGCAGCAAUGGAUUUGUGAAGGGGACAGUAACUCCAGUGUCUCCUUCUUAGUCUACAAAACCUUUCUGUUCUUAUUCUUCCAGGAAUUGCAGUCAUUCUUCUAGCUACAAAAUCACACUGUAAUCUGUGUUCCACUGAUUAUCUACCAGGCAUUUGUAACCUCUUCGCUUUGUCAUCAUAUUAUGAAAUUAUUAUUAUUAUGUGGUCAUGCCUAAGAAAAAUAAAGUAAAUAGGCAUUGAAUCCAAAGAAAUAAUAUAGGGAAGAUUACUGUUUUUCUAUUUUUUUCCCCCAAGAUAUUGUGGGUCUGAAACUAAAUACAUGAAAUUAAUUUUAAAAUACACUGAAACCUUUGCAGAUUAGUUAUUAAGCUAUUUUACCCUCCCCCCCCCAACAAACAAACAAACAAACAAAGGCAAAGUAAAGAACUAUUUUAUAUUUGUUGAUAAUUUUUAAUAAGGCAUUUCUGGCUGUACAAACUGUUGUCUUAACUCACCAUUCAAUGAGUGACAGGAAAAAGUCGAAUUGGAAGAAUUUGUUCUGGCCAUUCUUCCAGUGUGGACAUUAAAUAAUUUCUUAAAAAUGAGG
Molecule: long non-coding RNA, 3905 nt
Organism: Hirundo rustica (Barn swallow)
Lineage: Eukaryota; Metazoa; Chordata; Aves; Passeriformes; Hirundinidae
Exons: 4
Source: RefSeq, a predicted model, not a curated record